Molecule: long non-coding RNA, 274 nt
Organism: Xenia sp. Carnegie-2017
Lineage: Eukaryota; Metazoa; Cnidaria; Anthozoa; Malacalcyonacea; Xeniidae
Exons: 3
Source: RefSeq, a predicted model, not a curated record
UGUAGGAGAGAUUGUGGGCUUACAUUCGCAAAUUUAGCAGAAUGACUAAAGAAAUGCGUCCAAGUCACAGAGUUGAUGUACUCAGUGAUGCUCUUUUACAUUAUGGAAAGAAAACGAAGAUUAAUUUAGGCAAUUUGCUGAUGGCAAGGAUGAAGCGAGCUGUUGACGUGGAAGAAACUGCAAAAUCAGAUAUUGAAAAGUUAUGCAGGUGCUUUCCGUCUCACAGGAUUUCAAUAGAUAAUAUUCGUGAGUGGAUGAAGGACGAAUCGACUUU